ACCUACCUUUCAGUGAGGAAUACCGGCGAGAAAUCGCCGACAAUACCGCAUAGGCUUCUCUCUGGCUUGCAAGAGACAGGGGGAAGCAAAGCUUCUUUCGGGAGGCGCUGGGAGAUGGGCCUGCGGCCGAUUAGCUGGUUGGUGGGGUAAAAGCCUACCAAGGCGACGAUCGGUAGCUGGUCUGAGAGGACGAUCAGCCACACUGGGAUUGAGAACGGCCCAG
This 223-nucleotide ribosomal RNA is filed under the name uncultured bacterium. RNAcentral's name for it is "partial 16S ribosomal RNA". It matches the Rfam family "Bacterial small subunit ribosomal RNA", at positions 124 to 334 of the family's 1533-position model. The record is from RNAcentral.